GACGAACGCUGGCGGCGUGCUUCAUACAUGCAAGUCGAACGAGAAUCUGACUUCGGUCAGAGGAAAGUGGCGGACGGGUGAGUAAAAUGUAGGAAAUCUGCCCUAGAGAGGGGGACAACAGAGGGAAACUUCUGCUAAUACCCCAUAUGAGCGUAGCUGAAAUGCUAUCUUGAAAACUCCGGUGCUCUAGGAUGAGCCUGCAUCUGAUUAGCUAGUUGGGGGUGUAAUGGACCACCAAGGCGACGAUCAGUAGCUGGUUUUGAGAGGAUGAUCAUCCAGACUGGGACUGAGACACGGCCCAGACUCCUACGGGAGGCAGCAGUAGGGAAUCUUUCACAAUGGGCGAAAGCCUGAUGGAGCAACGCCGCGUGCAGGAUGAAGGCC
RNAcentral lists this ribosomal RNA (384 nucleotides) under uncultured bacterium. RNAcentral describes it as "bacterial SSU rRNA". It matches the Rfam family "Bacterial small subunit ribosomal RNA", at positions 28 to 416 of the family's 1533-position model. The record is from RNAcentral.